ACGAACGCUGGCGGCGUGCUUAACACAUGCAAGUCGAACGGAAAGGCCCUGCUUGCAGGGUCCUCGAGUGGCGAACGGGUGAGUAACACGUGGGUGAUCUGCCCUGCACUUCGGGAUAAGCCUGGGAAACUGGGUCUAAUACCGGAUAUGACCUUCCAUGUAGUGUGGGGGGUGGAAAGAUUUAUCGGUGUGGGAUGAGCCCGCGGCCUAUCAGCUUGUUGGUGGGGUAAUGGCCUACCAAGGCGUCGACGGGUAGCCGGCCUGAGAGGGUGGACGGCCACAUUGGGACUGAGAUACGGCCCAGACUCCUACGGGAGGCAGCAGUGGGGAAUAUUGCACAAUGGGCGGAAGCCUUAUGCAGCGACGCCGCGUGGGGGAUGACGGCCUUCGGGUUGUAAACCUCUUUCGACAGGGACGAAGCUUCGGUGACGGUACCUGUAUAAGAAGCACCGGCUAACUACGUG
RNAcentral lists this ribosomal RNA (464 nucleotides) under uncultured bacterium. Its description in RNAcentral is "partial 16S ribosomal RNA". It matches the Rfam family "Bacterial small subunit ribosomal RNA", at positions 29 to 507 of the family's 1533-position model. The record is from RNAcentral.